UACAGAGGUCUCAAGCGUUGUUCGGAUUCAUUGGGCGUAGAGGGUGCGUAGGCGGCGCGGUAAGUCGGGUGUGAAAUCUCGGAGCUUAACUCCGAAACUGCAUUCGAUACUGCCGUGCUCGAGGACUGGAGAGGAGACUGGAAUUUACGGUGUAGCGGUGAAAUGCGUAGAUAUCGUAAGGAAGACCAGUGGCGAAGGCGGGUCUCUGGACAGUUCCUGACGCUGAGGCACGAAGGUCAGGGGAGCAAACGGG
RNAcentral lists this ribosomal RNA (253 nucleotides) under uncultured bacterium. RNAcentral's name for it is "partial 16S ribosomal RNA". It matches the Rfam family "Bacterial small subunit ribosomal RNA", at positions 524 to 776 of the family's 1533-position model. The record is from RNAcentral.